GGACACCACAAAACAAGUGAUCUGUAAAAUUACUUAGCAGCAAACCAUGAGAGGAGAGCCGUACUUAAUUCAGAUUCUGAGUCGUGUGGAUGGUUAGAAUUCGUCUGUAUAUACUGCAUUCAGCCAAACAACACGUUCCAUAAUCACAUUAAUUAAGAAGAGCCACACUUGCGAGCUAUACAGUGCCAUAUUUAAUGACCUGCCUUAUCCAAGAGAUGCCCACCGUUCAAAGACCUGAGAAGAUAACGUCAGGCUUUGACUGUGGUUGCUGGACCUCUUCCUGUUUGGAGAUGGUGGUCUUCUGCUGCUCCAACAUGGUGAGAAGUUCUGUGAUCUUCAGUUGAAGACUCUUCUCUGAGGACGACCUGUCAGUGGUGACCUCUGUCU
This is a long non-coding RNA of Oreochromis niloticus (Nile tilapia), 387 nucleotides long. RefSeq lists it as uncharacterized. Lineage: Eukaryota; Metazoa; Chordata; Actinopteri; Cichliformes; Cichlidae. The record is from RefSeq and is a predicted model, not a curated record. The transcript has 5 exons.